UGGGGAAUUUUGGACAAUGGGGGAAACCCUGAUCCAGCCAUGCCGCGUGAGUGAAGAAGGCCUUCGGGUUGUAAAGCUCUUUCAGCCGGAACGAAACGGUCACGGCUAAUACCUGUGAUCACUGACGGUACCGGAAGAAGAAGCACCGGCUAACUACGUGCCAGCAGCCGCGGUAAUACGUAGGGUGCGAGCGUUAAUCGGAAUUACUGGGCGUAAAGCGUGCGCAGGCGGUUUUGUAAGUCAGAUGUGAAAUCCCCGGGCUUAACCUGGGAACUGCGUUUGAAACUACAAGGCUAGAGUGUAGCAGAGGGGGGUGGAAUUCCACGUGUAGCAGUGAAAUGCGUAGAUAUGUGGAGGAACACCGAUGGCGAAGGCAGCCCCCUGGGCCUGCACUGACGCUCAUGCACGAAAGCGUGGGGAGCAAACAGGAUUAGAUACCCUGGUAGUCCACGCCCUAAACUAUGUCGACUAGUUGUUGGGGGAGUCUGUCCCUCAGUAACGUAGCUAACGCG
RNAcentral lists this ribosomal RNA (512 nucleotides) under uncultured Pseudomonadota bacterium. RNAcentral's name for it is "bacterial SSU rRNA". It matches the Rfam family "Bacterial small subunit ribosomal RNA", at positions 355 to 859 of the family's 1533-position model. The record is from RNAcentral. Lineage: Bacteria; Pseudomonadati; Pseudomonadota.